Long non-coding RNA from Trichomycterus rosablanca, 1478 nucleotides. RefSeq lists it as uncharacterized. The record is from RefSeq and is a predicted model, not a curated record. The transcript is spliced from 4 exons. NCBI's taxonomy places the organism in Eukaryota, Metazoa, Chordata, Actinopteri, Siluriformes, Trichomycteridae.
UGCUGCUGUAGGAGUUGAACAUAGAAGUCUUUUUGCUGGUGUAACAAUUCUUUUACUUGUUGAAGGGAAACACUAUCCUCACUUGCCAUUCCUGCUCCUUUAGGCGGCAUGACUGUUUAGAGCUAGCGCGAUGUAGCAGCCCCCUUCAGUCGGCCUCCGUGCAGAGCGUUCUGAGCGAGCGCGUAGUUGAAACGGUGUUACAAGCUCGCACUUAAUCGCCGAUCUCCGAUCGUCUUUCCCUAUACGAAAACAGCUUUACCCGAUCAUCUAUCCAACCUCCAACCGAAUUCCUUAAUCAAAUCCAGCAGUUUAUUCCUUAAAAAAAUAUCGGCAGCGAUCCGGCCGUGCCAAACAGGAAAACAGCGUGACAGGAAAUGACGUUCCUGUAGUCAGUCAUAAUGUUGAGGAGAUGAAGAAGAAGAAAGUAGAUUGGAAGAAAGUUACUGACAUGAUGGCCAGCACAUUCUCUCUACGACGAAAAGAAAUAGUCGAAGAACAACCACUUGUGGCAGAGGUGAAAGCCAAAUGGCCAGCUUUGUUCACUGAUCGACAGAUUGAAGCUGAAUUCACUCGACUUACGUCCAUUGGCUUGUGGGAUUCGUUUGUUUCUGGGCUGGACCAGCAUUUGGCUAGAUUCUUGCAGAUGUACAGGGCCAAGAGUCACUGCAUUUCAGAGCCUCCUGACUAUGCUUGAUUAUGAUAAUUCACUCCAAAAUAAAAGGUCAGUCACGCUUAGAGGCCUUCCACACUUUCUCAGAGAGGAUCCAUCCAAGUUUUUAAAGACUGCUGAGGCUACAGAGAGUGAGGAACGUAUGGGAAAAGGAGUGAAUGUUGGUAUCCUGCUGGUAAAAGAAGGAGAGGACGUCUUUGACUUUUCGGUGGUGCUGGAGGAGCAGAUUGUCCUGAGUAACAUUCAGAAGGUUCUAAUGAACAUUGGUGGUGAACAGUGUUCUGCCAGGGUUCAUGGACUUCGAAACAGACUUCUGUGUGAAACUCUGUAGUUAAGAGUUGAAUAUACUGGAAUAUUUUUCACUGGAUAUAGUGGAUUUAUAAAUUUUUUCUGUGUUUUAUGUAUUGCCAAAAAUUGCACUUGCAAGUGCAAUUAUGUUCAUGGGCAUUUGGUACUAAAUAGGUGUUGCUGUUUUGUUCUUAAAGGGGACUACAUCUAAAGUUCUGCAUGAUUCAAUAGUUCAUAUAUAAAGAGGUAAGUGGUAAGGCCCCAUUGUAGUACUGACUUACAUUUCUUUUCAGUGGUGGUGAGAGAACUCCACGUUUUAUUUGCUAUCCAAAAACACAUGAGUAAAAGCUACACAUCUGGGGUUUUUAUUUUUAAACAAUGUCUUGCACCAUAUCUUUAAAAAAAUCGUAUCACCAAUACACAACAUUACUGUAAUAGCUUUCUGUUGGGUAGUUUUUAGGGGUCAAGUGCUUUAGAUGUAAUUAUUACUGCACUGUGGAUAAUUCUGCCACACUUUCAC